CCUACGGGUGGCUGCAGUGGGGAAUAUUGCGCAAUGGAGGCAACCCUGACGCAGCAACGCCGCGUGCUUGAAGCAGGCCUUCGGGUUUUAAAGAUCUUUUAUCGCGGACGAAUUUUGACGUUACCCUAAGAAUAAGCUCCGGCUAACUACAUGACAGCAGCCGCGGUACUACGUAGGGGGCAAGCGUUAUCCGGAUUUACUGGGUGUAAAGGGCGUGUAGGCGGGCACGCAAGCCAGAGGUGAAAUCUUGGGGUUCAACCCCCAAACUGCUUUUGGAACUGUGUGGCUUGAGUGAUGGAGAGGCAGGCGGAAUGGACAGUGUAGCGGUGAAAUGCGUAGAUAUUGGGAGGAACACCAGUGGCGAAGGCGGCCUGCUGGACA
Molecule: ribosomal RNA, 381 nt
Filed under: uncultured bacterium
Lineage: Bacteria
Description: partial 16S ribosomal RNA
Rfam family: Bacterial small subunit ribosomal RNA
Source: RNAcentral